AUUGAACGCUGGCGGCAGGCCUAACACAUGCAAGUCGAGCGAGCGGUGGACGGGUGAGUAAUGUCUGGGAAACUGCCUGAUGGAGGGGGAUAACUACUGGAAACGGUAGCUAAUACCGCAUACCAUCAGAUGUGCCCAGAUGGGAUUAGCUAGUAGGUGGGGUAACGGCUCACCUAGGCGACGAUCCCUAGCUGGUCUGAGAGGAUGACCAGCCACACGGGAACGGAGACACGGUCCAGACUCCUACGAGAGGCAGCAGUGGGGAAGAUUCCACAAUGGGCGCAAGCCUGAUGCAGCCAUGCCGCGUGUGUGAUGAAGGCCUUCGGGUUGUAAAGCGCUGUCAGCGGGGAGGCGGGACCCGCAGAAGAAGCACCGGCUAACUCCGUGCCAGCAGCCGCGGUAAUAC
Molecule: ribosomal RNA, 406 nt
Filed under: uncultured bacterium
Lineage: Bacteria
Description: partial 16S ribosomal RNA
Rfam family: Bacterial small subunit ribosomal RNA
Source: RNAcentral